Molecule: ribosomal RNA, 400 nt
Filed under: phytoplankton environmental sample
Lineage: Eukaryota
Description: partial small subunit ribosomal RNA
Rfam family: Eukaryotic small subunit ribosomal RNA
Source: RNAcentral
AGCUCCAAUAGCGUAUGUUAAAGUUGUUGCGGUUAAAAAGCUCGUAGUUGGAUCUGCGGCCUCGCGUCCUGGUGUUCCCGCAGGGUUCUACUGGGUUUGCAGGCCUACCUCGCUGGUUUUCCCCUGGUCCUCUUCACUGAGUGCCUUGGGUGACCAGCAAGUUUACUUUGAAAAAAUUAGAGUGCUCAAAGCAGGCGUGUAGCCUGAAUAGUGGUGCAUGGAAUAAUGGAAUAGGACCUCGGUUCUAUUUUGUUGGUUUUCGGAGCGCGAGGUAAUGAUUAAGAGGGACAGACGGGGGCAUUCGUAUUGCUGCGUUAGAGGUGAAAUUCUUGGAUCGCAGCAAGACGGACAACUGCGAAAGCAUUUGCCAAGAAUGUUUUCAUUAAUCAAGAACGAAAGU